RNAcentral lists this ribosomal RNA (253 nucleotides) under uncultured bacterium. RNAcentral describes it as "partial 16S ribosomal RNA". It matches the Rfam family "Bacterial small subunit ribosomal RNA", at positions 524 to 776 of the family's 1533-position model. The record is from RNAcentral.
UACAGAGGGGGCAAGCGUUGUUCGGAAUUACUGGGCGUAAAGGGCGCGUAGGCGGCCUUCUAAGUCGAACGUGAAAUCCCCGGGCUCAACCCGGGAACUGCGUCCGAUACUGGAAGGCUUGAAUCCGGGAGAGGGAUGCGGAAUUCCAGGUGUAGCGGUGAAAUGCGUAGAUAUCGGGAGGAACACCAAUGGCGAAGGCAGCUCGCUGGGACGGUACUGACGCUGAGACGCGAAAGCGUGGGGAGCGAACAGG